Molecule: ribosomal RNA, 360 nt
Filed under: Staphylococcus aureus
Lineage: Bacteria; Bacillati; Bacillota; Bacilli; Caryophanales; Staphylococcaceae
Description: partial 23S ribosomal RNA
Rfam family: Bacterial large subunit ribosomal RNA
Source: RNAcentral
GGCCCAAGCGACUGUUUAUCAAAAACACAGGUCUCUGCUAAACCGUAAGGUGAUGUAUAGGGGCUGACGCCUGCCCGGUGCUGGAAGGUUAAGAGGAGUGGUUAGCUUCUGCGAAGCUACGAAUCGAAGCCCCAGUAAACGGCGGCCGUAACUAUAACGGUCCUAAGGUAGCGAAAUUCCUUGUCGGGUAAGUUCCGACCCGCACGAAAGGCGUAACGAUUUGGGCACUGUCUCAACGAGAGACUCGGUGAAAUCAUAGUACCUGUGAAGAUGCAGGUUACCCGCGACAGGACGGAAAGACCCCGUGGAGCUUUACUGUAGCCUGAUAUUGAAAUUCGGCACAGCUUGUACAGGAUAGGU